CCUACGGGUGGCAGCAGUGAGGAAUAUUGGUCAAUGGACGCAAGUCUGAACCAGCCAUGCCGCGUGCAGGAAGACGGCUCUGUGAGUUGUAAACUGCUUUUGUACGAGGGUAAACGCAGAUACGCGUAUCUGUCUGAAAGUAUCGUACGAAUAAGGAUCGGCUAACUCCGUGCCAGCAGCCGCGGUAAUACGGAGGAUUCAAGCGUUAUCCGGAUUUAUUGGGUUUAAAGGGUGCGUAGGCGGUCGGAUAAGUUAGAGGUGAAAUCCCGAGGCUCAACUUCGGAAUUGCCUCUGAUACUGGUCGGCUAGAGAGUAGUUGCGGUAGGCGGAAUGUAUGGUGUAGCGGUGAAAUGCUUAGAUAUCAUACAGAACACCGAUUGCGAAGGCAGCUUACCA
RNAcentral lists this ribosomal RNA (396 nucleotides) under uncultured bacterium. RNAcentral's name for it is "partial 16S ribosomal RNA". It matches the Rfam family "Bacterial small subunit ribosomal RNA", at positions 338 to 731 of the family's 1533-position model. The record is from RNAcentral.